Molecule: ribosomal RNA, 709 nt
Filed under: uncultured bacterium
Lineage: Bacteria
Description: bacterial SSU rRNA
Rfam family: Bacterial small subunit ribosomal RNA
Source: RNAcentral
UGCAGUCGACGGUGAUGCUGGGCUUGCUCUGGUUGAUCAGUGGCGAACGGGUGAGUAACACGUGAGUAACCUGCCCCAGACUCUGGGAUAACUUCGGGAAAUCGGAGCUAAUACCGGAUAUGAGACGUCCUCGCAUGGGGAGCGUCUGGAAAGAUUUAUUGGUCAGGGAUGGACUCGCGGCCUAUCAGCUUGUUGGUGAGGUAAUGGCUCACCAAGGCGACGACGGGUAGCCGGCCUGAGAGGGCGACCGGCCACACUGGGACUGAGAUACGGCCCAGACUCCUACGGGAGGCAGCAGUGGGGAAUAUUGCACAAUGGGCGAAAGCCUGAUGCAGCAACGCCGCGUGAGGGACGACGGCCUUCGGGUUGUAAACCUCUUUUAGUAGGGAAGAAGCGAAGUGUUUUACAUGGAGUGACGGUACCUGCAGAAAAAGCACCGGCUAACUACGUGCCAGCAGCCGCGGUAAUACGUAGGGUGCAAGCGUUAUCCGGAAUUAUUGGGCGUAAAGAGCUCGUAGGCGGUUUGUCGCGUCUGCUGUGAAAUCCGGAGGCUCAACCUCCGGCCUGCAGUGGGUACGGGCAGACUAGAGUGCGGUAGGGGAGAUUGGAAUUCCUGGUGUAGCGGUGGAAUGCGCAGAUAUCAGGAGGAACACCAAUGGCGAAGGCAGAUCUCUGGGCCGUAACUGACGCUGAGGAGCGAAAGCAUGGG